This 253-nucleotide ribosomal RNA is filed under the name uncultured bacterium. RNAcentral describes it as "partial 16S ribosomal RNA". It matches the Rfam family "Bacterial small subunit ribosomal RNA", at positions 524 to 776 of the family's 1533-position model. The record is from RNAcentral.
UACAGAGGGUGCGAGCGUUAAUCGGAAUUACUGGGCGUAAAGGGCGCGUAGGUUGUUAUAUAAGAUUGAUGUGAAAUCCCUGGGCUUAACCUAGGAAGGUCAUCGAUGACUGUAUAGCUAGAGUAUUGUAGAGGGUAGUGGAAUUUCCGGUGUAGCGGUGAAAUGCGUAGAGAUCGGAAGGAACAUCAGUGGCGAAGGCGGCUACCUGGACAAAUACUGACACUGAGGCGCGAGAGCGUGGGUAGCAAACAGG